This 825-nucleotide ribosomal RNA is filed under the name uncultured bacterium. Its description in RNAcentral is "bacterial SSU rRNA". It matches the Rfam family "Bacterial small subunit ribosomal RNA", at positions 79 to 898 of the family's 1533-position model. The record is from RNAcentral.
CUUGCUUCUCUUGAGAGCGGCGGACGGGUGAGUAAUGCCUAGGAAUCUGCCUGGUAGUGGGGGAUAACGUUCGGAAACGGACGCUAAUACCGCAUACGUCCUACGGGAGAAAGCAGGGGACCUUCGGGCCUUGCGCUAUCAGAUGAGCCUAGGUCGGAUUAGCUAGUUGGUGGGGUAAUGGCUCACCAAGGCGACGAUCCGUAACUGGUCUGAGAGGAUGAUCAGUCACACUGGAACUGAGACACGGUCCAGACUCCUACGGGAGGCAGCAGUGGGGAAUAUUGGACAAUGGGCGAAAGCCUGAUCCAGCCAUGCCGCGUGUGUGAAGAAGGUCUUCGGAUUGUAAAGCACUUUAAGUUGGGAGGAAGGGUUGUAGAUUAAUACUCUGCAAUUUUGACGUUACCGACAGAAUAAGCACCGGCUAACUCUGUGCCAGCAGCCGCGGUAAUACAGAGGGUGCAAGCGUUAAUCGGAAUUACUGGGCGUAAAGCGCGCGUAGGUGGUUUGUUAAGUUGGAUGUGAAAUCCCCGGGCUCAACCUGGGAACUGCAUUCAAAACUGACUGACUAGAGUAUGGUAGAGGGUGGUGGAAUUUCCUGUGUAGCGGUGAAAUGCGUAGAUAUAGGAAGGAACACCAGUGGCGAAGGCGACCACCUGGACUAAUACUGACACUGAGGUGCGAAAGCGUGGGGAGCAAACAGGAUUAGAUACCCUGGUAGUCCACGCCGUAAACGAUGUCACUAGCCGUUGGAAGCCCUUGAGCUUUUAGUGGCGCAGCUAACGCAUUUAGUUGACCGCCCUGGGGAGUACGGCCGCCAAGGUUUAA